UGAAUUAAUAUUUUUAGCUUCAAUUAUUUCAAAAUCCUCAUCAUUAAGUAGAAAAUGUUCACUUAUUUACAUCCCACGUACAUCUCUUUUCUUUAUAAUCGCAUAAAUAAAAAAUAAUAUAUAUUUUAUUAUUAUAUAAUUUUUUAUUUUAUUGAAUUUUCAAUCAUCAUUAAAGAUUUACUCCAGAGAAAAAGUAUGAUCAAUCAUCGAUCGGCAUAAUCAUUGAUAAGAUUGAGAGAUGGAAGAAAUGGAAAGAAAGAGGACAUAGGGAGUAGGGUGGAGGAAAGGG
Molecule: long non-coding RNA, 289 nt
Filed under: Elaeis guineensis (African oil palm)
Lineage: Eukaryota; Viridiplantae; Streptophyta; Magnoliopsida; Arecales; Arecaceae
Description: long non-coding RNA (EGUI_LNC022580)
Source: RNAcentral